Molecule: long non-coding RNA, 3047 nt
Filed under: Triticum aestivum (bread wheat)
Lineage: Eukaryota; Viridiplantae; Streptophyta; Magnoliopsida; Poales; Poaceae
Description: long non-coding RNA (TAES_LNC020184)
Rfam family: MIR1120/MIR1122 microRNA precursor family (bases 835-921)
Source: RNAcentral
GAAAAUCAACUUGAGGAAUUAGCAAUAAGUGAAUGUUGUUGAGGACAUUGAAAACUCAUAUAUAUAUAUAUAUAUAUAUAUAUAUAUAUAUAUAUAUACACACACACAUUCCUAUCCUAAUAAGCGCACAUUCCUAUCCUAAUAUACGGGUCCUAUCAUAUACUAGCAAAAAUGCCCGUGCGUUGCAACGGGAGAAAUAAGUGCACAUUCCUAUCCUAAUAAGUAUGUCUAAAGACCUCUCAAAGGUCAACAUCCUCUUUUUCAACACGGCGUCCCACCUGUUUCACAACCUAUGCUUCUCCCUGCCAUCAUUGAUAGUGGCCGCAAUGUCCGAGACAACGCCCGUGCUUCACUAUGGAGCAAAGUAGACGUUGCUAGAAAUGAGUAGCAUGUGUUCCUGUAUAUAAUUUCAUACAAUUAAUAAUGAAUAUCACGAAGGUAAUUUAUAUUACAUACCAUCAAAUCUUGCGACAUUUUUAAUGUAGCACUUAGGCAUAGAAAUAACAUAACAUGUAGUGCAUCACCCAAAAAAUUAAUACGUCAAAAAUGCAUGGAUAAAAAAAUGGUAAAACUAUAGAAAGGGGUAGCUACUCACAAAAAUAUGAAUGCAAUAGUAAUGUAACAUGAUGGAAUAACACAACGCUCUAAUAUUGAUACGUAAAGACGAUGCUGGGCCAAAGCGAAGUAAUAAUCAUCUGCUCUCACCAUACCUUGGCUUCUCAAGUUCCAAGGAUUUCUCUGUAAGGAAGCAUAUAAAGGUUAAGAACAUCAGACAAAGGUAGAAUCUAGGAAGAAUAUAAAGGUUAAGAACAUCAGACAAAGGUAGAAUCUAAGAUACUCCCUCCGUAAACUAAUAUAAGAGCGUUUAGGUCACUAUUUUAGUAAUCUAAACGCUCUUAUAUUAGUUUACAGAGGGAGUAAUUGGGUUGUAGCAAUCGUAUGCUGCUUGUUUCAAAGACUGUUUCCACUGCAAAAAGGCACAUUAACAAAUAAUCAAUGGUACAGCUGCAAAAUAAUAUUGAAAAAGUUUGUAUAUUUCACACUAAUUCGGCAUGACUACAGAUGAAGAACUCAAUUGCUUAUGGUUUUUCUCAAAGAGUCGUGCACUGCAAUUGGAGUAACUUUAAUGCACAUGUUCUAUGGCAAUCAGGACAGCCAGUGCGCCGAUCAUGUCAGUGCUUUGGGUACCAAAUUUAUCAACUAUAAAUCACCUUGACCUAGAUCACUGAACUUCUCCUGAGUCAGCAGCACAACCCAGACGUACAUAUAUCUCUCAUAUACAUACUCAGGGGAUCAAUUUUUUUGUUUAUUUCCUUUCUGUUUUCCUCAUAACAUCGCUUUUCUUAUUGUGCUUUUGCUCUCUUUGUUUGUCUCCUCCCAGUGCACCACUAAAAUCAAUCACGGAGUCACGGCUGAAGUAGAUUGGGUCAAAUCGAGUAGCAUAGCAUGUCCAGCAGCGCAUGCGGAUCUCCAGUUGCAACGAGGUUUUUGGCACACGGGAUUUUUGGCACAUGGGAUUUCUGCAGUUGGUUGUGAGUAGUGCUACUCCAUUGUUGCUCGAUGGAAAGAUAAUAAUGAAGUUAUAUGUACUGAGAGAAUCAGGUUAUCUGUAGUUCUGUACUAAGAGAAUCAGGUUGAGCUAUGGGCGUACUUUACCUCAAGUCCUGAAGCCUUUACUUUAAUCACUGUUGUUGCGCAUGCAAGCUCAUGCUGGAAUACCUUUAGCUGCAUAUUACAUCCACAAAUAGUUCCCCUGCUGCAAAAAUUAUAAGAACAGAUCACUUCCAAGGUUCAAAACCGUUCUUUGAACUCCAUCUUAUAGAACAAUGUCUAUGACCUUAAUGUAAACAACAUGUCUUAAAAUAGUAAAUGCAUGGGCUGCAAAAAAUUUGAAGAACCGAACCCUUCCAAGGUUCAAAUAGUUUUUUGAACUGUCUAUCAUAGAUAUGAAGAUUUGGGUCCCAGAAAAAUAGGGCAGGAUUAAGAUGCAGAGUUUUCAGUGACUCAUUAUGCUGUAGUUUGUAUCCCUGUUCGAAACGAAAUAUAUGUACACUGAAAUCCUAUUUACCCGACGCGAUAAGUCAAAAUAAUAAUCAACCAAUUGUAUUUGCUGAGCACGAGAACUUAUUCUUUUAAUAUGUCAGAAAGGAGAUCAGACACAAUCAACAAUAGGUUAUUUAGAAAAUAAAUGACAUGUCAAUUGGCAUACAAAUCUUCAAAAAACGUUUGACAUGAUGAUUUAGCUGUUGCAAAUGGCAAAUGAAUUACAGCUAAGAAAGAAAACAUCAAGUAGCUAGAAAAAAUUGGAUCUGAAAGAACUACCUGACAGUAAACAGGAAAGAAGAUAGUUGAGGCGUGCAGGCACAUACAAUGGCACCGGUAGGAAAGAAACCCAUCUUCAUUGAUCAAAUUGUUCUCAUGUUGUGCAGAUACGACGAGAGAGCUAUCCGUAGAUAGUGAGGUGCACGUAUGACCUAGUUAGUCCUGACACGCCAUUGAUUCAUCCAUCGACCAAAAAGACAAGGUUCCAACCAAGCAUGCAUGAGCACAUCCCAGGAGCUCCUAGCAGAAUCCUGAAGCUGCAACACGCCCUGCGACGCCCGUAUAGUUGCCUGGCAGCGAUAACACACGCCCGCCCAGUUAGACCCCGGCCCAGCGCGCCAGGGUCAUGACCGCACGCCUCCCUCCUACCAGCCACGGUCAGGCCAGUCCAUGGGAUGGAGUAGAAGUAUAAUUGGUUGUGGAAUAACAACAGCUACUGCCGGACAAAUUAGCCUCGUCGCCGGUGGCCUAGCUCCUGCCGCUACUGCCAGAUCGGGGUGGAGGGAAAGGAGGCUUGUGCUCCAGACCAGGGAAGGGAAGAGUCGGGAGGUGGCACGCAGGCCUCGCCGGAUUGGUCGGGAGCGGCGCGCCAUAGGAGGAAACAACAGUGACUUGCGGGAGGUUGGCAUCAGCGGCGGUGGCGAGCGGUGCGGCGGCCGCCGUCAAUUUCGAUUGGGCCAAAAAAGGGAUUGGGGCGUGGGGACGGGCGAGCGGGUAGGCAGGCG